RNAcentral lists this ribosomal RNA (254 nucleotides) under uncultured bacterium. RNAcentral's name for it is "partial 16S ribosomal RNA". It matches the Rfam family "Bacterial small subunit ribosomal RNA", at positions 524 to 776 of the family's 1533-position model. The record is from RNAcentral.
UACAGGGGGGGCAAGCGUUGUUCGGAAUUACUGGGCGUAAAGGGUUCGUAGGUGGCCAACUAAGUCAGACGUGAAAUCCCUCAGCUUAACUGGGGAACUGCGUCUGAUACUGGAUGGCUUGAGUUUGGGAGAGGGAUGCGGAAUUCCAGGUGUAGCGGUGAAAUGCGUAGAUAUCUGGAGGAACACCGGUGGCGAAGGCGGCAUCCUGGACCAACACUGACGCUGAGUGAGCGAAAGCCAGGGGAGCAAACGGG